Molecule: long non-coding RNA, 632 nt
Filed under: Heterocephalus glaber (naked mole-rat)
Lineage: Eukaryota; Metazoa; Chordata; Mammalia; Rodentia; Bathyergidae
Description: lncRNA (ENSHGLG00000035314.1)
Source: RNAcentral
UGUAGAGCCAAACCAUACAGGUCCAUUAAAGUCUGUGCUCAGGUAUGGUACCUGUCACACACAUGUCACAUGUCACUCACAUUCCUUUGGCCAAAGCAAGCUGCAUGGUGAGCUCCAAAGAGAAGAGGAUAAAGAAAUAUAUUCUACCAACAAGAAGGAUGAUAUGAACUGAUGAGUGGAGGAAACAAAUGAGGCAGUCUCCCACUGGCUGAAUAAGAUCCUCUUUUGUUGCCAGUUCAGAGAGUCCAGGUGGUUGAAGAUCAGAUUGUUCCAUCUCAUUUCCCUUUGGCGUUGCUUUUCUUGUUUUGUGUACACAAGGAUUUAAUGCUCCAGUGACUAUGAAAAUGAGCUCUGAUUCCAAUGGCAGGAGAUCUGGGAACCAAAUCGCUUACAGUGAAUUAAUUGCACGAACCAAUGGCACUGCAAGUCUCCAGCUUUUCUGAGAAAUUCAAAACAGGCUUUGCCUGUUACCAUGCACAGUAAUGGGAGAAGGUUGUCAACCUGCAUGAUGGCGACAGUCGGCCAACUUCUGUGUGACUCUUGAAGGCUGUUGCUACCCUGAGAUGGCUCAAGAAGUGGUGGGGCCCUUUGUACACCAGUCAUCUUGGGAAUAAAGAAGGUUUUGUGGUAAG